Aotus nancymaae (Ma's night monkey) is the source of this 110-nucleotide small nucleolar RNA. NCBI's taxonomy places the organism in Eukaryota, Metazoa, Chordata, Mammalia, Primates, Aotidae. The record is from Ensembl.
UCCCAAUGAUGAGUUGCCAUGCUAAUACUGAGCCACCAGGUAGGGCAGUAUUGCCCUAGUUUGGGUGCCAGUGAGUUUAACAACACUUCUCACAUGAAUACCUGAGGGGC